CCCUUAGAUGUUCUGGGCCGCACGCGUGCUACACUGAGUGGAUCAGCGGGUCAGGUUGCGCGAAAGCGUUUCCUAAUCUUUAAAUCCGCUCGUGAUGGGGAUUGACGGUUGCAAUUUUCUGUCAUGAACGAGGAAUACCUUGUAAGCGCGGGUCAUCAUCCCGCGCUGAAUACGUCCCUGCCCUUUGUACACACCGCCCGUCGCUCCUACCGAUUGAGUGGUCCGGUGAGGCUUUGGGAUCUGAGCGGAAAGAGCGUUUCGCUGUUUCUGCUCGGAAAACUCAGUCGAACCUUAUCAUUUAGAGGAAGGAUAAGUCGUAACA
This 322-nucleotide ribosomal RNA is filed under the name uncultured eukaryote. RNAcentral describes it as "partial 18S ribosomal RNA". It matches the Rfam family "Eukaryotic small subunit ribosomal RNA", at positions 1470 to 1796 of the family's 1831-position model. The record is from RNAcentral.